GUGAGAGGCACAGCGAGAUACGGUGAGAGACUGGGACACGGUGAUAGACUGAGACAGUGUGAGACACAGCGAGAGAAUUAGACAGUGUGAGACACAGUGAGACAUGAUGAGAGACUGAGACACAGCGAGACACGGUGAGAGAAUGAGACAGUGUGAGACACAGUGAGACAUGGUGAGAGAAGGAGACAGUGUGAGACACAGCGACACACAGCGAGACACUGUGAGAGAAUUAGACAGUGUGAGACACAGUGAGACACGGUGAGAGAAUGAGACAGUGCGAGACACAGCUAGAUACGGUGAGAGAAGGAGACAGUGUGAGACACUGUGAGAGACUGAGACAGUGUGAGACACAGCAAGACACAGUGAGAGAAGGAGACCGUUUGAGACACAGCGAGACAUGGUGAGAGACUGAGACAGUGUGAGACACAGCGAGACACAGUGACAGAUUGAGACAGUGUGAGACACAGCGAGACACGGUGAGAGACUAAAACACAGCGAGACACGGUGAGAGACUGAGACACGGUGAUAGACUGAGACAGUGUGAGACACAGCGAGACACAGCGAGAGACUGAGACAGUGUGAGACACGGUGAGAGAAUGAGACAGUGUGAGACACAGCGAGACACGGUGAGAGACUGGGAGUGUGAGACACAGAGUUAGUGAAUAACAUUGACAGAGACACAGAGUUAGGGAAUAACAUUGAUAGAGACACAGAGUUAGGGAAUAACAUUGACAGAGACACAGAGUUAGGGAAUAACAUUGAUAGAGACACAGCGUUAUGGAAUAACAUUGAUAGAGACACAGAGUUAGGGAAUAACAUUGAUAGAGACACAGCGUUAGGGAAUAACAUUGAUAGAGACACAGCGUUAGUGAAUAACAUUGAGCAUUAGGGAAUAACAUUGAUAGAGACACAGCGUUAGUGAAUAACAUUGAGCAUUAGGGAAUAACAUUGAUAGAGACACAGCGUUAUGGAAUAACAUUGAUAGAGACACAUCGUUAGUGAAUAACAUUGAUAGAGACACAGAGUUAGGGAAUAACAUUGAUAGAGACACAGCGUUAGGGAAUAACAUUGAUAGAGACACAGAGUUAGUAGAUAACAUUGAUAGGGAACACAGAGUUGGGAAUAACAUUGAUAAAAGACACAGCGUUAGUGAAUAGCAUUGGUGAGACACAGAGUUAAAGAAUAACAUUGAUAGACACACGCAUUGGCAAGAUAACUUUGAUAGAACACAGAGUUAGGAAUAACAUUGAUAGAAACACAGAGUUAAGGAAUAACAUUGAUAGACACCGCAUUAAUGAAUAACUUUGAUAGAGACACAGAGUUAGGGAAUAACAUUGUUAGAGACACAGAGUUAGGGAAUAACAUUGAUAGAGACACAUCGUUAGGGAAUAAUAUUGAUAAAGACACAGCGUUAGUGAAUAACAUUGAUAGAAACACAGAGUUAAGGAAUAACAUUGAUAGACACCGCAUUAAUGAAUAACUUUGAUAGAGACACAGAGUUAGGGAAUAACAUUGAUAGAAACACAGAGUUAAGGAAUAACAUUGAUAGACACCGCAUUAAUGAAUAACUUUGAUAGAGACACAGAGUUAGGGAAUAACAUUGAUAGAGACACAUCGUUAGGGAAUAAUAUUGAUAAAGACAAAGCGUUAGUGAAUAACAUUGAUUGAGACACAGAGUUAGGGAAUAACAUUGAUAGAGACACAGCGUUAGGGAAUAACAUUGAUAGAGACACAGAGUUAGGGAAUAACAUUGAUAGAGACGCAGCGUUAGUGAAUAACAUUGAUAGAGACACAGCGUUAAGGAAUAACAUUGAUAGAGACACAUCGUUAGUGAAUAACAUUGAUAGAGACACAGCGUUAGUGAAUAACAUGGAUAGAGACACAGAGUUAGGGAAUAACAUUGAUAGAGACACAGCGUUAGUGAAUAACAUGGAUAGAGACACAGAGUUAGGGAAUAACAUUGAUAAAGACACAGCGUUAGUGAAUAACAUUGAUAGAGACACAGAGUUAGUGAAUAACAUUGAUUGAGACACAGCGUUAGUGAAUAACAUUGAUAGAGACACAGAGUUAGUGAAUAAUAUUGAUAGAGACACAGAGUUAGGGAAUAACAUUGAUUGAGACACAGAGUUAGGGAAUAACAUUGAUAGAGACACCGCAUUAGUGAAUAACAUUGAUAGAGACACAGAGUUAGUGAAUAAUAUUGAUAGAGACACAGAGUUAGGGAAUAACAUUGAUAGAGACACAGAGUUAGGGAAUAACAUUGAUAGAGACACAGCAUUAGUGAAUAACAUUGAUAGAGACACAGAGUUAGUGAAUAACAUUGAUUGAGACACAGCGUUAGGGAAUAACAUUGAUAGAGACGCAGCGUUAGUGAAUAACAUUGAUAGAGACACAGCAUUAGUGAAUAACAUUGAUUGAGACACAGAGUUAGGGAAUAACAUUGAUAGAGACACAGAGUUAGGGAAUAACAUUGAUAGAGACACAGCGUUAUGGAAUAACAUUGAUAGAGACACAGAGUUAGGGAAUAACAUUGAUAGAGACACAGCGUUAGGGAAUAACAUUGAUAGAGACACAGCGUUAGUGAAUAACAUUGAGCAUUAGGGAAUAACAUUGAUAGAGACACAGCGUUAGUGAAUAACAUUGAGCAUUAGGGAAUAACAUUGAUAGAGACACAGCGUUAUGGAAUAACAUUGAUAGAGACACAUCGUUAGUGAAUAACAUUGAUAGAGACACAGAGUUAGGGAAUAACAUUGAUAGAGACACAUCGUUAGGGAAUAACAUUGAUAGAGACACAGAGUUAGUGAAUAACAUUGAUAGAGACACAGAGUAGUGAAUAACAUUGAUUGAGACACAGAGUUAAGGAAUAACAUUGAUAGACACCGCAUUAAUGAAUAACUUUGAUAGAGACACAGAGUUAGGGAAUAACAUUGAUAGAAACACAGAGUUAAGGAAUAACAUUGAUAGACACCGCAUUAAUGAAUAACUUUGAUAGAGACACAGAGUUAGGGAAUAACAUUGAUAGAGACACAGAGUUAGGGAAUAACAUUGAUAGAGACACAUCGUUAGGGAAUAAUAUUGAUAAAGACACAGCGUUAGUGAAUAACAUUGAUAGAGACACAGAGUUAGGGAAUAACAUUGAUAGAAACACAGAGUUAAGGAAUAACAUUGAUAGACACCGCAUUAAUGAAUAACUUUGAUAGAGACACAGAGUUAGGGAAUAACAUUGAUAGAGACACAUCGUUAGGGAAUAAUAUUGAUAAAGACACAGCGUUAGUGAAUAACAUUGAUUGAGACACAGAGUUAGGGAAUAACAUUGAUAGAGACACAGCGUUAGGGAAUAACAUUGAUAGAGACACAGAGUUAGGGAAUAACAUUGAUAGAGACACAGAGUUAGGGAAUAACAUUGAUAGAGACGCAGCGUUAGUGAAUAACAUUGAUAGAGACACAGCGUUAAGGAAUAACAUUGAUAGAGACACAUCGUUAGUGAAUAACAUUGAUAGAGACACAGCGUUAGUGAAUAACAUGGAUAGAGACACAGAGUUAGGGAAUAACAUUGAUAGAGACACAGCGUUAGUGAAUAACAUGGAUAGAGACACAGAGUUAGGGAAUAACAUUGAUAAAGACACAGCGUUAGUGAAUAACAUUGAUAGAGACACAGAGUUAGUGAAUAACAUUGAUUGAGACACAGCGUUAGUGAAUAACAUUGAUAGAGACACAGAGUUAGUGAAUAAUAUUGAUAGAGACACAGAGUUAGGGAAUAACAUUGAUUGAGACACAGAGUUAGGGAAUAACAUUGAUAGAGACACCGCAUUAGUGAAUAACAUUGAUAGAGACACAGAGUUAGUGAAUAAUAUUGAUAGAGACACAGAGUUAGGGAAUAACAUUGAUAGAGACACAGAGUUAGGGAAUAACAUUGAUAGAGACACAGCAUUAGUGAAUAACAUUGAUAGAGACACAGAGUUAGUGAAUAACAUUGAUUGAGACACAGCGUUAGGGAAUAACAUUGAUAGAGACGCAGCGUUAGUGAAUAACAUUGAUAGAGACACAGCAUUAGUGAAUAACAUUGAUUGAGACACAGAGUUAGGGAAUAACAUUGAUAGAGACACAGAGUUAGGGAAUAACAUUGAUAGAGACACAGCGUUAUGGAAUAACAUUGAUAGAGACACAGAGUUAGGGAAUAACAUUGAUAGAGACACAGCGUUAGGGAAUAACAUUGAUAGAGACACAGCGUUAGUGAAUAACAUUGAGCAUUAGGGAAUAACAUUGAUAGAGACACAGCGUUAUGGAAUAACAUUGAUAGAGACACAUCGUUAGUGAAUAACAUUGAUAGAGACACAGAGUUAGGGAAUAACAUUGAUAGAGACACAGCGUUAGGGAAUAACAUUGAUAGAGACACAGAGUUAGGGAAUAACAUUGAUAGAGACACAGCGUUAAGGAAUAACAUUGAUAGAGACACAGCGUUAGUGAAUAACAUUGAUAGAGACACAGCGUUAGUGAAUAACAUUGAUAAAGACACAGAGUUAGUGAAUAACAUUGAUAGAGACACAGCGUUAGUGAAUAACAUUGAUAAAGACACAUCGUUAGGGAAUAACAUUGAUAGAGACACCGCAUUAGUGAAUAACAUUGAUAGAGACACAUCGUUAGGGAAUAAUAUUGAUAAAAACACAGCGUUAGUGAAUAACAUUGAUAGAGACACAUCGUUAGGGUAUAACAUUGAUAGACACCGCAUUAAUGAAUAACUUUGAUCGAGACACAGAGUUAGGGAAUAACAUUGAUAGAGACACAGCGUUAGUGAAUAACAUUGAUCGAGACACAGAGUUAGGGAAUAACAUUGAUAGAGACACAGCGUUAGUGAAUAACAUUGAUAGAGACACAGAGUUAGGGAAUAACAUUGAUAGAGACACAGAGUUAGUGAAUAACAUUGAUGGAGACACAGCAUUAGUGAAUAACAUUGAUAGAGACACAGCGUUAAGGAAUAACAUUGAUAGAGACACAGAGUUAGGGAAUAACAUUGAUAGAGACACAGCAUUAGUGAAUAACAUUGAUCGAGACACAGAGUUAGGGAAUAACAUUGAUAGAGACACAGCGUUAGUGAAUAACAUUGAUAGAGACACAGAGUUAGGGAAUAACAUUGAUUGAGACACAGAGUUAGUGAAUAACAUUGAUAGAGACACAGAGUUAGUGAAUAACAUUGAUAGAGACACAGAGUUAGGGAAUAACAUUGAUAGAGACACCGCAUUAGUGAAUAAGAUUGAUCGAGACACAGAGUUAGGGAAUAACAUUGAUAGAGACACAGCGUUAUGGAAUAACAUUGAUAGAGACACAGAGUUAGGGAAUAACAUUGAUAGAGAGACAAAGAGUUAGGCAAAGGCAUUGAUUACUAGAUCAUUGGACACUGAGGGUCAGGGAAUGUUUUAGUAAGAGAUGUUUUCAGUUCAACGUUUUUGGUCUAACAUGUAAAAUUCACUUUGAAUUCCCAACAAUUCUCACUUUAGUUGAUGACCCAAGGGAUUCAAAUAAAACAUGUAGGUUGUUCUGACAAAAUGAUUUAUAUUCACAGUGACACACUAUGGCUUGCAGCAACGUACAGAGUAAGCAUGCAGUGAUCCAGUGACGUACACAGUGAUCCAGUGACAACACAGAGAAAUCCAGUGACACACAGGGAUCCAGUGACAUACAGAGAUCCAGUGACAUAAGGAGAGAUCCAGUGAUGUACAGAGAGAUCCAGUGGCAUACAGAGAUCCAGUGAUAUACAGAAUAAUCCGGUGAUCCAGUGACUUGCAGUGAGAUCCAGCAACCUGCAGUGCAUGGA
Non-coding RNA from Pelobates cultripes (western spadefoot toad), 5812 nucleotides. The record is from the annotation of a GenBank genome assembly. Lineage: Eukaryota; Metazoa; Chordata; Amphibia; Anura; Pelobatidae.